AUUAUGCAAAUUAUCGUUAUGUAUAAAUUGUGUCUGUCACAUUAGCAGGCAGAUGAAUCUGAAACUGGUGGCAUUAAAGAUGUGGGCCCUGUUUUAAUGCAUGCCACCUUUGUGUAUGAGGAGCAGGAAUGAGCAAGAGUGUCCUUGGUCUGCCUCAUCCUUGUUUCAGUGCUCUCCAUGUGUUGAAAGCAACUGCCUGUAGCUGAGAGCUUUCUGUCCAUGGAAACGCCAUACAAUUUAUGAUCCUUUUUUUCCAGAGUUCUAAAUUCCAUGCACUAAACUGCAUUCCCUAGAAACAGAUCAACCCCUAAACUAGGAGGGUGGUAGAAAGAGGAAGAUGGCAGAGCUAGUACACUCAUGCCCCUCUCCCUCUACUUGUGUGUUUUUAGAGAUGGCAUGCAUUAAAACACCUGGAAAAUUAGUCAUGCUUACAAGAGAUAUACUGAAGCCAAGGCUGCUUAAGUGGAUUCUCAAUGCCAUGGACUAAACUGCAUCCUCUGCAAACAGGAUGUAUCAAAAUGUUCCUGGAGGCCAGCCGCUUGGUACUUGCUAUAAGCAUGAACUGGCCUGUAAUUUCCAAAAAGGCCUCAAGGGUCAAAGCUUCUCAGAAGACAUACCUUCUCAUCAUGAUGUCCUUGCCACUAAACAGCAGAUGCAUGCAGCAGGCUGCUUGUGAACAAGCAAUGAACCACAAAGGCCAGGGGAAGAUGUUGAAUACAGAGACCACAAAAUGUAUCAGGAUGAGACUAUUUUUAUUUAUUUAUUUUUAUUUAUUUAUUUAUUGUAUUUAUACCCUGCCUAUCUAGUCAUUUCGACCACUCUAGGCGGCUUACAACAUAAGGAUAACAAGUUCUAAAAAAAAUAACAAUUAAUUAAUUAAAUGUGAGGUCAAAAUGAAUUCAUUUGCAUUCAUUCCUUGUGAAGUUAUAUCAAGAAAAUCAGAUCUGUGUGAUUUAAGUGGCCACACAAAAAACAUGAGACUUUUUUCUGCUGGUUGCUUGUAGUUUGCUCAUAGUCCUGUAGAUGGUGUCAUUACAAAGAACUGUUUUGCAUACAACAAAAAAGCUUCCUUAUUCAAAUUCCUCAUGCAGUUACCUUCUUAGCUUAAAAAAAUCCUUGCCCUCUGAGACAAGCUCCAUUUCUUAACCUGUCGUAUAAAAACAGACACCAGGAGUUUUGCCCAUGGAAGAGAACUGGGGGGGCGGGGAGUAUCUAGAGAGGGAAGCUUUGCUCCCUGUAAGUGCGAGCGGCUUGUGUGUUUAUGUAUGUAUGGCAUGUGAAGCAAGAAGUGAGGAAGAAGGUGCUUGGUAUAUGUAUGUACAAGCUCAGUUGGGCUUUCUUUUCUGUAUCAGUUCAAAGUGAUUGUAUACUUUGAACUGAAGCAAAAAGAUGCAACUUUUGAAAAGUGGAAGGGUUUCUGUGGUGGAAGAAAAAGUACAGAUUGGGGUGUGGGACUCCAAGCCGUUUUACAUUUCCUGUUGCAUGAUGUGAUCAGCAGGGAAAAAUGCAAAUUCCUUUUUUUAAAAAAAAAAUUAACUCUGAGACAAGUGAACACCAAGAAGAGCCACUGUCUGCUCUUAUCAUUCAUCUUCCACUAACUGCGGCAUAUUUGACUGUUUGCUGUGGCCUAAGCUCUUUGCCCC
This is a long non-coding RNA of Pogona vitticeps (central bearded dragon), 1643 nucleotides long. The record is from Ensembl. NCBI's taxonomy places the organism in Eukaryota, Metazoa, Chordata, Lepidosauria, Squamata, Agamidae.